AUUGAACGCUGGCGGCAUGCCUUACACAUGCAAGUCGAACGGCAGCAUGAUCUAGCUUGCUCGAUUGAUGGCGAGUGGCGAACGGGUGAGUCAUACAUCGGAACGUGCCCUGUUGUGGGGGAUAACUAGUCGAAAGAUUAGCUACUACCGCAUACCACCUGCGGGUGAAAGUGGGGGACCGCAAGGCCUCAUGCUAUAGGAGCGGCCGAUGUCUGAUUAGCUAGUUGGUGAGGUAAAGGCUCACCAAGGCGACGAUCAGUAGCUGGUCUGAGAGGACGAUCAGCCACACUGGGACUGAGACACGGCCCAGACUCCUACGGGAGGCAGCAGUGGGGAAUUUUGGACAAUGGGCGAAAGCCUGAUCCAGCAAUGCCGCGUGUGUGAAGAAGGCCUUCGGGUUGUAAAGCACUUUUGUCCGGAAAGAAAUGGCUCUGGUUAAUACCUGGGGUCGAUGACGGUACCGGAAGAAUAAGGACCGGCUAACUACGUG
This 490-nucleotide ribosomal RNA is filed under the name uncultured bacterium. Its description in RNAcentral is "partial 16S ribosomal RNA". It matches the Rfam family "Bacterial small subunit ribosomal RNA", at positions 30 to 507 of the family's 1533-position model. The record is from RNAcentral.